Long non-coding RNA from Mustela erminea (ermine), 1753 nucleotides. RefSeq lists it as uncharacterized. Lineage: Eukaryota; Metazoa; Chordata; Mammalia; Carnivora; Mustelidae. The record is from RefSeq and is a predicted model, not a curated record. The transcript is spliced from 3 exons.
UAUUGUGGAAAUUUGUCUUAUAGUCGUAUCCCAAAUCAGCAAGAUUUAUUUUUCUCUCUUUACGACAUAGUCAGAGCUCUGACUUCUUUGAGUUCUUCAGAUCGUGAAAACCAGCUUUCGGAGAGGAGGACGGUGUAAGAGAACCCCCCCAGAAACAGGAACCCUUCUCCAGUCUGCUUUAGGAGACUGGAUGGACCAUGUCAAUGUCUUCUUUGCCCUCUGGUUUCUAUAUUUGGCUGAUGUAGAUCCCUGGCAGGAUAUUGAAGAGAGUGAGGUCAGGGUAUUUAUUCCCUCUGCUUCCUCCCUGAGAUGCUCCCAUGUGUUGGCUGUGUCCCUCAACUGCGGGUUACACCUGUCAACUCUCCCUACAUGACUCCCUCGGCCUCCAGAUUCUACCCACGGCUCCUGCUUUGGGCCCUCUCAGGACUAGGAGCGGUACCAGCCCCCACAACCACUAGCCCUGGGAUACUGUACUGCUCCUUCUCAUGUAGCUCCUCCACAUGCUACAUUAAAAAAAUAGUCCUAUUAACCUGUCCUCGAAUGAUUUAGAGUGUGCUCUCUGUUUUCUGCUAGAACGCUGACUGGUACAGUAAGCAAUGUAAGUGUGUAGAGACUGCUAAUACAAGUUAGAGACUGCUGAUACAAGUUAGAGACUGCUGAUACAAGUUAGGCAUCCGUGUCCAGACGCUUCUUUUCUUAGCACUCACCCCUGCCUCACGGUUCAUCCACCUCACUCCCCUUUGCACUCAUGUUCACUUUCAUGGAGAACUUGCCUGUGGCACAACAUGAUUAAUAUUUGUCCCUGACACUCCUCUGGAGGCAGCAAUGGUAGUCAUUGCAAUCUUUUGCGUUUGCAAAAUGUUUUGAGAUUAAGGAGGCCCUUUCACAUCAAACCUUGAAAGAAUUUGUUGGCAUCGGUGUUACAGUCUAUAUGUUAGAUACGUGGAAAGUACACAUCACAUGGGUGAAGUGGAUCGCCCAGAUCCCAACCAGUAGUGGUCGAGCUGGACUCCAAUCCUGGGUCUGUCUAAUGCACAGUGAAUAAGAGGAAGUAAUUAACUCAUGGUUGUGUGUAUCUUGGGGGACUUGAGAAAGAGAAAAGAAAAAAAAAAUCAUGAUCCUCCUUGCAAGCAAAGCCAUACUUGGUGACAAAGUAUGAAAUGAUGGGUAUAGAGAAUCAUAGCAGAGCUAAAUGACCCUUAAGAAGAGUAAGGGAAAAAAAAACCUCACUCUCUCCAACAAAAUCUUUGAGUCCCAUGUUCUACCGACUGAGCUAGCCGGAUGCCUUCCAACAAAAUCUUUAAUAAUGUACCUAUUGCUCACGAGUGCAUCAUGGAAUUUUUGUUUUUUCUUUAAAUUUGGGGGCAGAGCAGAGUGCUGAGCUUCAUCAGUGGACUGGAUGGGAAAAGAAGUUGCCAUAGAGGGCAGCUCCUUCUGCGUUGUAGCUGCGAAUGCAAACAGAAAUUAUUGCCAUUGUCCCAGGAGUCUGAGGUUUGCUUUAGACAACAGAGCUCCCCUGUGUGAUGGGAGCAUGAAGCAGUGGCCAUUCAUGAAUAAACAGCCUGCAUCGCACAGCCAUGUGCUGGUGGGAAUGGAGCCAUCAGCCAGGACGGUGUCUCAUCUCCUCUUGCGCUCGUGACAGUGACAAGGCAGUCUGCACAGAACAUGCUGUCACCUGAGGAUAAAAUGCACACUUGGAUUUGAAAGACUUCCUAUGAAAAGUAAAAUUUUUUGUUAGUAAUUUUUAUAUUGA